AGGACGAACGCUGGCGGCGUGCUUAACACAUGCAAGUCGAGCGGUAAGGCCUUUCGGGGUACACGAGCGGCGAACGGGUGAGUAACACGUGGGUGAUCUGCCCUGCACUUCGGGAUAAGCCUGGGAAACUGGGUCUAAUACCGGAUAUGACCUCAGGUUGCAUGACUUGGGGGUGGAAAGAUUUAUCGGUGCAGGAUGGGCCCGCGGCCUAUCAGCUUGUUGGUGGGGUAAUGGCCUACCAAGGCGACGACGGGUAGCCGACCUGAGAGGGUGACCGGCCACACUGGGACUGAGACACGGCCCAGACUCCUACGGGAGGCAGCAGUGGGAAUAUUGCACAAUGGGCGAAAGCCUGAUGCAGCGACGCCGCGUGAGGAUGACGGCCUUCGGGUUGUAAACCUCUUUCAGCAGGACGAAGCGCAAGUGACGGUACCUGCAAGAAGAAGCGACCGGACUAACGUACGUGCCAGCCAGCCGC
RNAcentral lists this ribosomal RNA (478 nucleotides) under uncultured soil bacterium. Its description in RNAcentral is "bacterial SSU rRNA". It matches the Rfam family "Bacterial small subunit ribosomal RNA", at positions 26 to 518 of the family's 1533-position model. The record is from RNAcentral.